RNAcentral lists this ribosomal RNA (536 nucleotides) under Cladosporium sp. N52. Its description in RNAcentral is "eukaryotic LSU rRNA". The stretch from base 182 to 335 matches the Rfam family "5.8S ribosomal RNA". Lineage: Eukaryota; Fungi; Ascomycota; Dothideomycetes; Cladosporiales; Cladosporiaceae. The record is from RNAcentral.
CGUAGGUGACCUGCGGAGGGAUCAUUACAAGUGACCCCGGCUACGGCCGGGAUGUUCAUAACCCUUUGUUGUCCGACUCUGUUGCCUCCGGGGCGACCCUGCCUUCGGGCGGGGGCUCCGGGUGGACACUUCAAACUCUUGCGUAACUUUGCAGUCUGAGUAAACUUAAUUAAUAAAUUAAAACUUUUAACAACGGAUCUCUUGGUUCUGGCAUCGAUGAAGAACGCAGCGAAAUGCGAUAAGUAAUGUGAAUUGCAGAAUUCAGUGAAUCAUCGAAUCUUUGAACGCACAUUGCGCCCCCUGGUAUUCCGGGGGGCAUGCCUGUUCGAGCGUCAUUUCACCACUCAAGCCUCGCUUGGUAUUGGGCAACGCGGUCCGCCGCGUGCCUCAAAUCGUCCGGCUGGGUCUUCUGUCCCCUAAGCGUUGUGGAAACUAUUCGCUAAAGGGUGUUCGGGAGGCUACGCCGUAAAACAACCCCAUUUCUAAGGUUGACCUCGGAUCAGGUAGGGAUACCCGCUGAACUUAAGCAUAUCAUG